AGGUCAUUUCAACAUAAACAUUGAAAUAUGGGUAUACUGUCAGCUCUGUCACACGUGUAGUUUGACAUUAGCAGCCCUUCUGAAACAUUUUAAUGAAAGUAUAAUUCACAAAAUUCACAUUUUCACUUACUUCUUAACAUCUGUUUUAAUCCAACUAGCUCUGUAGGCACGAGCAAAGUUUAGUGUUGUCAACACUGUGUUGAUGUAAAUAUCCAUUUUGUUCAUGUU
Non-coding RNA from Paramuricea clavata, 228 nucleotides. NCBI's taxonomy places the organism in Eukaryota, Metazoa, Cnidaria, Anthozoa, Malacalcyonacea, Plexauridae. The record is from the annotation of a GenBank genome assembly.